Molecule: unclassified non-coding RNA, 22 nt
Filed under: Mus musculus (house mouse)
Lineage: Eukaryota; Metazoa; Chordata; Mammalia; Rodentia; Muridae
Description: oocyte_clustered_small_RNA9139
Source: RNAcentral
CUGCGACCUGGGCACUGGGGUG